Molecule: microRNA, 22 nt
Filed under: Drosophila pseudoobscura
Lineage: Eukaryota; Metazoa; Arthropoda; Insecta; Diptera; Drosophilidae
Description: dps-miR-92c-3p
Gene: dps-miR-92c-3p
Source: miRBase by way of RNAcentral
UAUUGCACUAGCCCCGGUCCAA